This is an RNA transcript of Mus musculus (house mouse), 2469 nucleotides long. It is a transcript of the gene named telomeric repeat binding factor 1, with no coding region annotated. NCBI's taxonomy places the organism in Eukaryota, Metazoa, Chordata, Mammalia, Rodentia, Muridae. The transcript has 10 exons. The record is from RefSeq and is marked reviewed.
AGCUGAGGCACGGCGAGCGCUUUCGGUUUAACAUGGCGGAGACGGUCUCCUCAGCGGCCCGGGACGCGCCGAGCCGUGAGGGCUGGACAGAUUCGGAUUCUCCAGAGCAGGAGGAGGUGGGAGACGACGCGGAGCUGCUCCAGUGCCAGCUUCAGCUGGGGACCCCGAGAGAGAUGGAGAACGCGGAGCUUGUGGCUGAGGUGGAGGCCGUGGCUGCGGGCUGGAUGCUCGACUUCCUCUGCCUGUCUCUGUGCCGAGCCUUCCGUGACGGCCGCUCCGAGGACUUUCGUCGUACUCGUGACAGCGCCGAGGCUAUUAUUCAUGGACUACACAGACUUACAGCUUACCAAUUGAAAACUGUGUAUAUAUGUCAGUUUUUGACAAGAGUUGCAUCUGGAAAGGCCCUUGAUGCACAGUUUGAAGUUGAUGAGCGUAUUACACCCUUGGAAUCAGCCCUGAUGAUUUGGAACUCAAUUGAAAAGGAACAUGACAAACUGCAUGACGAAAUAAAGAAUUUAAUUAAAAUUCAGGCUGUAGCUGUUUGUAUGGAAAUUGGCAGCUUUAAGGAAGCAGAAGAAGUAUUUGAAAGAAUAUUUGGUGAUCCAGAAUUUUACACGCCUUUAGAAAGGAAGUUACUUAAGAUAAUCUCUCAGAAGGAUGUGUUCCACUCCCUUUUCCAACACUUCAGCUAUAGCUGCAUGAUGGAGAAAAUUCAGAGUUAUGUGGGUGAUGUGUUAAGUGAAAAAUCAUCAACUUUUCUAAUGAAGGCAGCAACAAAAGUAGUGGAAAAUGAGAAAGCGAGGACACAAGCGUCUAAGGAUAGGCCAGAUGCCACCAACACUGGAAUGGACACUGAAGUUGGUUUGAAUAAAGAGAAAAGGUCUUUCGCACCUUCCCUUCCAUAUGGAUCCACAUCUUGUGAUUAUCACAUUAGAAAACAAACUGGCAUCUAUGGAAUAAUAAUACAAUGAGAUGAAUCAAAAACAAAAAAAUAUGACAAAACCAAACAAAAAAAGUACAGGAAAUAUAUAUAGGUGCACAGGCACAUGUUCCCAUACUAAAGAAUCAAAAAAAAAAAAAAAAAAACCCCAACCAACCAAACAAACAAACAAACAAAGCAAGAAGUCAAGAUUUAUGCCCAAAGGACCUGUAAGAUACAAAAGUGUUAAUGGCCAGCAGUCUACAGAAACUGAACCCUUAGUGGAUACAGUAUCCUCAAUAAGGUGAAACAACGAUGGAAAGGAACCGAAGAACCAGUGGAAGGAAUAGAUUGUGUGUCUCAGAGAAUCAGCCAGACACUGAUGACAAAAGUGGACGCAGGAAAAGACAGACAUGGCUUUGGGAAGAAGACAGAAUUUUGAAGUGUGGUGUAAAGAAAUAUGGAGAGGGAAAUUGGGCUAAAAUACUAUCCCAUUAUAAGUUCAACAACCGAACAAGUGUCAUGUUAAAAGAUAGAUGGAGAACAAUGAAGAGACUGAAACUGAUUAGCUGAGACACUGGAGGCUGGAUGGGUUUGAUUCAGCUUAAUACAAGGAUAAAUACUUGGAUCACUACACUUUGUUUACAAUUUCCUGGUCAGUAAUGAUAAAGCAUUAUGGUGGUGGUGGGGCAGUGAGGAGGGGGAAGAGAAAGAGAGUUUUUGUUUUUUUGGUUUUUGUUUGUUUGUUUGUUUGUUUGUUUUUUAGAGGAGAUUUGUGCUUUAAAUCUAUGUCAUCAUUAUUUUCUGAAUCUUUAUUUUUGUAAAAUAUAGAUAUGUUGAACCCUACCAAAUUCAGUACCCCAUCCCAUAUUCUGUUUUAAUACAAAAGAGUCUAAUAAGAUUAAAUGAAUAUAUGACUAUUUACGGUUUGUUCUAUUCCAUGUCUAUAAACUAACCUCACAAAAUGCCACCUAGCAUUGAGUUUUCUGAAGAACUUAAUUGGAAUAAUCCUUGAUGUGACUUUACUGCUGGAUCUAUGGCUAAUGUACUACUUACUAAAGAUCUAUUACUAGAGAGGUAUUCAAAACAACUCAUGAGUUCUAACAAGCCUAGCUUGGCUUCUCUCAAAAGUUUCAUUUAAAGGAAGUUGAGUUUUCACCAAAAAUGUAUUCAUUGCAAUAUUUAAUCAAAGACUAAUUAAUAAUUAGCAUUUGAGUUUUAUGUGCCAUAUUUAACAAGUAAAAAAUAAGUCUCGGCCGGGUGUGGUGGCGCAGGCCUUUAAUCCCAGCACUCGGGAGGCAGAGGCAGGUAGAUUUCUGAGUUUGAGGCCAGCCUGGUCUUCAGAGUGAGUUCCAGGACAGCCAGGGCUACACAGAGAAACCUUGUCUCAAAAACCAAAAAAAAAAAAAGUCUCAACCUAUUGAAAUAUUUAUGAGAAAGUCAGCAUUGUGUAUUUCCUUCAAAGUGUUGUGCAUUGCUUUCCUGUUCUCUUGAAUUUGCUGCCUUAUAUAUAUAAUAAACAGAAGCAUUAGUGGUUGCUGUAGACCAAA